AAUCAACGCUGGCGGCGUGCCUCAGACAUGCAAGUCGAACGAUUAAAGCUCUCUUCGGAGAGUGUAUAGAGUGGCGCACGGGUGAGUAACACGUAAGUAAUCUACCCUCGAGUGGGGAAUAACGUCCGGAAACGGACGCUAAUACCGCAUAAUGCAGCGGCACCGCAAGGUGACAGUUGUUAAAGGAGAAAUUCGCUUGAGGAGGAGCUUGCGGCAGAUUAGCUUGUUGGUAAGGUAACGGCUUACCAAGGCUACGAUCUGUAACCGGUCUUAGAGGACGGUCGGUCACACUGACACUGAAUAACGGGUCAGACUCCUACGGGAGGCAGCAGUCGGGAAUUUUGGGCAAUGGGCGAAAGCCUGACCCAGCAACGCCGCGUGAAGGAUGAAGUAUUUCGGUAUGUAAACUUCGAAAGAAUAGGAAGAAUAAAUAGACGGUACUAUUUAUAAGGUCCGG
Molecule: ribosomal RNA, 457 nt
Filed under: uncultured bacterium
Lineage: Bacteria
Description: bacterial SSU rRNA
Rfam family: Bacterial small subunit ribosomal RNA
Source: RNAcentral